AACGAACGCUGGCGGCAUGCCUAACACAUGCAAGUCGAACGAGACCUUCGGGUCUAGUGGCGCACGGGUGCGUAACGCGUGGGAACCUGCCCUUAGGUUCGGAAUAACUCCCCGAAAGGGGUGCUAAUACCGGAUAAUGUCUUCGGACCAAAGAUUUAUCGCCUUUGGAUGGGCCCGCGUUGGAUUAGCUAGUUGGUAGGGUAAAAGCCUACCAAGGCGACGAUCCAUAGCUGGUCUGAGAGGAUGAUCAGCCACACUGGGACUGAGACACGGCCCAGACUCCUACGGGAGGCAGCAGUGGGGAAUAUUGGACUAUGGGCGAAAGCCUGAUCCAGCAAUGCCGCGUGAGUGAUGAAGGCCUUAGGGUUGUAAAGCUCUUUUACCCGGGAUGAUAAUGACAGUACCGGGAGAAUAAGCUCCGGCUAACUCCGU
Molecule: ribosomal RNA, 432 nt
Filed under: uncultured bacterium
Lineage: Bacteria
Description: partial 16S ribosomal RNA
Rfam family: Bacterial small subunit ribosomal RNA
Source: RNAcentral